AGUGAACGCUGGCGGUAGGCCUAACACAUGCAAGUCGAACGGCAGCACCGUAAGAGCUUGCUCUUACGGGUGGCGCGUGGCGGACGGGUGCGGAAUACACCGGAAUCCACUUUUUCGUGGGGGAUAACGCAGGGAAACUUACGCUAAUACAGCAUACGACCUACGUGUGAAAGCAGGGGAUUUUCGGACCUUGCGCGAUUGAAUGACCCGAUGUCGGAUUAGCUAGUUGGCGGGGUAAAGGCCCACCAAGGCGACGAUCCGUAGCUGGUCUGAGAGGAUGAUCAGCCACACUGGAACUGAGACACGGUCCAGACUCCUACGGGAGGCAGCAGUGGGGAAUAUUGGACAAUGGGCGCAAGCCUGAUCCAGCCAUACCGCGUGGGUGAAGAAGGCCUUCGGGUUGUAAAGCCCUUUUGUUGGGAAAGAAAAGCAGCAGGUUAAUACCCCGCUGUUCUGACGGUACCCAAAGAAUAAGCACCGGCUAACUUCGUG
This 492-nucleotide ribosomal RNA is filed under the name uncultured bacterium. Its description in RNAcentral is "partial 16S ribosomal RNA". It matches the Rfam family "Bacterial small subunit ribosomal RNA", at positions 29 to 507 of the family's 1533-position model. The record is from RNAcentral.